GCAGUGAGGUGGGGGGAGGGAGCGCCAAGGAAACAGCGGAUAAACGGCCUAUUCUUCCUUUGGGGUCCACAUCUCUCAUUAAAAGUGUAAAACCAGGUUCAGGUGUUUGGGAGACAGCGUCAGGUGAGCUGUCUGAGGAGCAAGGCAGAUGGAAGGAAAGACGGUGACACACAAGGGAGUCCGGCCUGGGGCAGCCAAAGGAAGCGUAGCUCACCAGCUUUAGCUAACAGAAGACUCUAGAAGGUAAUGGGGUCAGGAGGUCAAGAAGCACAGCAACUUCCCACCUUUUUCCUUGUCACAGAAGUGAAGGGAAAGGGGCGGCUAUGUUGUCGCCUGGUGGGACCACCUGGGCUCCCUCCCCCAGGCUCCCGGCUGGGCUCCAGGAGGAGGAGGAAGGGUAAGCCACAGAACCAAGAGGAAGCAAGGCUCUGCCCCAGCACUGGUGCUUUGGGAGGGAGGAAGUCACUGGGGGCAGAACUGUUGGGAAUUGAGAUUAAAACGUGUCCAUCACCAGUUGUGACCUGCUGUCCUGAGAGCAAGAGAAAUCUUCCUCAGUGACUCCCCCCUCAUCCCUUACCCUGGAGCUCUGGGCUAGGGUUGUGGGGGCCCGGAGAAGUGGAGACACAGCUCCCGCCGGCCCGAAACUUCGAGGCGAGCCUGUGGCUCUUGGAACCAUGAGUGGAGGUGGGGAGGAGAGGGUGCAGGUGCUCGGGGGCUCAGGGAUGCUUGGAGAGCAUCUUGACGGUGGGUUUCGAGGUCUGGAUGAUCUCAAGGCACAGAGGGAAAGCUUGGGUCCUCAUGGCCAGGAGCCCACGAUAGGGUGGCAGCAACGUGCACCCUGUUGGGUAACGAACGGGGUGAGACGUGGGGAGAUGGUGGAGGGCCAGCCCCCAACCGAUGGGCCCGGGAGCAGAGAAGAUGGGCCAGUUGAUGAUCAUCGGAGGGGAGAAGCUGUCCCGGAGGAGAGGGAGCAGAGAAGUGCCCUGAAGAACGGGGUGGGUGUUUAAGAGGCCAGAGGAGGAGUCCCAUAAGGCAGGUGUCACAGAGACAUCCGUGCUCCAGCCACCCUCCCCAACCCCGCCCCGGGUCUGCUCCCCGUUUCAGAGCACGGAUGGCUCAGGAGAGAUGGAAACCUCGAGGCCCAGAGAAAGGCAGAGGCCUGGCUGGCGAAGGAGCCAGGAAAGCACUGGUUAAAGUGGUCUCAGCAGGAGCAGGUUUGGUUUCUGUAUCGGGUCCUCCUUGGCCAUCGGAUGGCCUGAGGGGCCCACGUCGGCUUCCUCAGCCACCACCCUCCAGAGUGGCCUCAAAGAGGAGGCUCUGCGGCGUCCACCCUGGCCUCCCGGAAGGCCACGGUCUUAACAGUGAUGCCACCUCCCAACGGCCCGGGGUCUUGGCACGUGCUGUCGCUCAGGGUCACACGGAAGGGGUUCGACCCCGGCAGGAGGGAGCCGGAGGCCCCCAGAUUUUCUGUCCCUUCUUGCUGCUCCCCACACCUCUGUCCGCUGCCUCCCGGAAAGUGGUCCUGGGGGAGGCCGGCUGAUGGGCGCAGAGGGAGACCAGGGCCACUGAGUUCAAAGUGAUUUGCUCUGAAGUCCCGGGUCUCAGAUAAAAUAAGCAGCGUGCACAUUUUCCGGGCUGUGUCUGAGGCCGACGCUGUGAGUCAGCAGUGGGACUUGGCCCUUGAGCCGUUUUUCGGAGGUGAAAGGGUGGGGACUGCCUGUUUCUCCUGGAGGAGGACAAGCGGGGCCGAGUGACCACUGGCACCUAAGUGCGUCCCCGCUCAGGUAAGAGCCUUGCUUACGGAGAGGGAUGCAGAGGGGUUCGCCGAGCUACUCAAGCCCCCAAGACAUGAGAGUUCCACGCGGGGGGAGUCACUAGGUGCUAGCGUGGGGCCUCCUGUGGGCGCCUGGCAGCAAAGGGUAGCUUUCACAACGCCUGGAAACUCUUUCCUUGAUUUUUAUCCCAAGGGCCACCACACCGUGCAGUCCCACGCAAAGCAAGUCAUUUCAGGGUGGCUUUGACUGAAUGAUGAUCACUCACAGCCAUCAGCCUUGAGGGCUCCUGACCUGGACCCAGAGAAGGCCCUGCCCGCUGGCUGCCUCGGGUCAGGGUCUCUGGAGAGCUGGAUUUGCAGAGGGUCCAAAGACGCCCUGAGCUUCUUGUUUUGCAGUGGGAAAUUCGCCUUCAUAAGAGGGCUACUGUUGACAGGUGUGAGAUUGGACUUGAUCUGAGGCCAACACCUCCAGUCCCGGAGCCAGCUCCGUGAGCCGAAAACAUGCACCAGCCCUCCAGUAAUACCACUGCAGCCAGCCAGAGUCUCAACAAUUUAAGGCUUAACACACACAACAUAAAUCAGCGGAGGAUGGACCAGCCGACCGGCAGCUUCUUGGGUGGAUGCCUGCAGACAGUCUGCAGAUCAGACCCUGCCUGUUUGGGGAAGCCCCGACUCCUUACACGUGGACUUUCAGCAUUUUGGAAAUGGAGGCGUAAAGAAGUGCGUGACACAAAAUCCAGCCAUGGGGGCCCAUGAUCCCUCGAGGAGACAGCCCACUUCUAGGAAGUGGCCGUGGAAGGCAGCGCACGAUUACACGUCCUCACGAGCAUUCCAUAGCGACGGCAGAGACUGUAUCCUGAGGCCCCCUCCAAGGCAGGGACGGGAUGCACCAGUGGCACGAGCCCUGGACCAGGAGUCCCAGGAUGGGGACUUCAGGCCUGCCUCCAACCGGGCCAAUCCCUGUCCUGCCCCGGGCCUCCGGUGGCUCAUGAGGGAAAGGAGGGCCUUUGAGCAAAGAUGCGUAAGGUCCCUUUCAACUCUAACUUCACCAUUCCCAUCUGAUCUUUGGGGAGCAGUGGUUGUGGGCUCUCCCACUGGGAGUUCACCCAAGGAAAUGGCACUUGACUGAAGGCGCUGCCAUAAAACCACUGCGGGGCUACUGUCCUCCUGCAGGACAAGGAGACCCUGGAGGUGAUGCUGUGUGGCUCAUCUGGCAGGACGGACGGAUUGUAACACCCUGGUGAGACACCACCGCCACCAACGCGGGUACAAUGCUAGCAGUGAGGGCAGCCCAGGUGGCUCAGCGGCUUGGUGCCCGCCUUCAGCCCAGGGCGUGAUCUUAGGGUCCCGGGAUCGAGUCCCACGUCAGGCUCCCUGCAUGGAGCCUGCUUCUCCCUCUG
Canis lupus familiaris (dog) is the source of this 3174-nucleotide long non-coding RNA. RefSeq lists it as uncharacterized. The record is from RefSeq and is a predicted model, not a curated record. The transcript has 4 exons. Lineage: Eukaryota; Metazoa; Chordata; Mammalia; Carnivora; Canidae.